GCAGAUCGUGUACUUCAUUGGAU
Molecule: non-coding RNA, 23 nt
Filed under: Cricetulus griseus (Chinese hamster)
Lineage: Eukaryota; Metazoa; Chordata; Mammalia; Rodentia; Cricetidae
Source: RNAcentral